RNAcentral lists this ribosomal RNA (252 nucleotides) under uncultured bacterium. RNAcentral's name for it is "partial 16S ribosomal RNA". It matches the Rfam family "Bacterial small subunit ribosomal RNA", at positions 524 to 776 of the family's 1533-position model. The record is from RNAcentral.
UACGUAGGGUGCGAGCGUUAAUCGGAAUUACUGGGCGUAAAGCGUGCGCAGGCGGUGAUGUAAGACCGAUGUGAAAUCCCCGGGCUUAACCUGGGAACUGCAUUGGUGACUGCAUCGCUCGAGUAUGGCAGAGGGGGGUAGAAUUCCACGUGUAGCAGUGAAAUGCGUAGAGAUGUGGAGGAAUACCGAUGGCGAAGGCAGCCCCUGGGUCAAUACUGACGCUCAUGCACGAAAGCGUGGGGAGCAAACAGG